UACGGAGGGAGCGAGCGUUGUUCGGAAUCACUGGGCGUAAAGCGUGCGUAGGCGGUUGCGCAAGUCAGAAGUGAAAUCCCUGGGCUUAACCCAGGAACUGCUUUUGAUACUGCGCUUCUCGAGUAUGGGAGAGGUUGGCGGAAUUCCGAGUGUAGAGGUGAAAUUCGUAGAUAUUCGGAAGAACACCAGUGGCGUAGGCGGCCAACUGGACCAUUACUGACGCUGAGGCACGAAAGCGUGGGGAGCAAACAGG
RNAcentral lists this ribosomal RNA (253 nucleotides) under uncultured bacterium. Its description in RNAcentral is "partial 16S ribosomal RNA". It matches the Rfam family "Bacterial small subunit ribosomal RNA", at positions 524 to 776 of the family's 1533-position model. The record is from RNAcentral.